RNAcentral lists this ribosomal RNA (253 nucleotides) under uncultured bacterium. RNAcentral describes it as "partial 16S ribosomal RNA". It matches the Rfam family "Bacterial small subunit ribosomal RNA", at positions 524 to 776 of the family's 1533-position model. The record is from RNAcentral.
UACGUAGGGCGCGAGCGUUGUCCGGAAUCAUUGGGCGUAAAGAGCUCGUAGGCGGCCUGUUGCGUCCGCUGUGAAAUCCCAGGGCUCAACCCUGGGCGUGCAGUGGAUACGGGCAGGCUGGAGGCAGGCAGGGGAGAACGGAAUUCCCGGUGUAGCGGUGAAAUGCGCAGAUAUCAGGAGGAACACCGGUGGCGAAGGCGGGUCUCUGGAACGCAACUGACGCUGAGACGCGAAAGCGUGGGGAGCAAACAGG